CAGUGUGAAGUGUGCAAUUUUCUUAGUGCUGGGUUUGCAUCUGACUAAAGUAGGGAAAAUGUACAAAAUAAUUGUAAACUGGGAGAAGGUCGUGGCGGUAAGGAGGGGAAAAGGUAAUUUUUACUCACUUUAUCCACAAGAAAUACUCUCCAUUUACUCACUUAGCACCGUUUGACCUUAUAAGUGCCUCGUAAAACAAAUCCAUAAAGAGACAAAAAUUGCUCGCAUGAAAUUAAAUUACUUAUCAUUAGUAGCCACUGAUUCUUCCAGAUUAGGACUAAACUGUGAUUUCUUACCUCAAAACUGCUUUUCAUCUCCAGACAUCAAAGUCUGCAGUACUUUUGAAUAAGUGCUGGUGGGGCUUUUGAAAAGGGGAGGCAGACACGGCACAGGAAAGAGGAGCUGCUCGUUUCUCUCAGGGUUAUCUUCUAAGAUACACAGAGAGCCACCACUUGAACUCAUCUGACUCGACUCCAGCCCUGCACUUCAUUCCUUCCACUGUUUUCCCCCUUUCCAAAUAAAGGGGAGACUGGGAAGAGGAAAAAUUAAUAAUUAUUAAUUAUUUCCUACUCACUCCCCUUCUUUUUCCUCAUGUCUCCCUCCCUCCCUCCCCACUUUUAUGGGGCAAACCCCCCAAUAUGUUGGGUGACUCUGGCUGCUCAAUUUGCUCCUUUUCUCAUUUUUUUUUCAGUUUUCACCUGAAAACCCAGCACUCUUUGCCAUCUGAGAAGUCCCAGAAAUUUUCUAGACAAAACUGUUGGUCUGAGAUUUCACAGUUAACUUUGGAAGGCCUGAAGUGUAUAAGCUUCUCAGCUCGCAGAAAUCUGACUCCACUAUUUGUAAUACCAAAUUUUUUGAAGUUUCUCAGCCUUGAGAAUUAACUUGUCAACUGUGAAGAAGCUUCAAAUUUGUCUAUAAAUCAUUUUGCUGCAGGCUAAAAUUUGACAGGCUGUAGGUAAACACUUUUUCUCUGGUAAAAAAAAAAAAUAAGACCAAUACAUUACUAUUAUUUUUUCCCCUUUAGAAUAGAGCCUCUGAUGUCUCCAGUUUAUGACUACAGCCAAUUUUCUCCAAAUUACAGUGUGCUGUGUUCUUACAUUGCCAAGGUAAGUGAUCACCACGAGGCUGAGAACUGCAGGCAGACCUGUGGUGGCACCAUCUGAAAUUCAGCAAGGGAAUUAUUUCCAACCCAGAUUUCUGCUUGUGCUGAGCUGUGUCUCCUUCUCACCUGGGCAUUUCAGGAUUGUGAGCAGAUCCUGAGCCCCUCCCCACACGGGUGAGCUCUGUCCCUGCUGGACCCACCCUGACAAUUCCAGGCUGGAUUUCGAGGACGCCUCGCUGUGCCAGCGCUGCUGAUUUGCUGUUGAGGCUGGAAAUUUUUGACAAGUGACUCAUCCCUGUUCCAGCAACGUGUCCCAUUUGAUCCUGCACUCCUAGAGGGUUUUUAACAAGCAAUUAGGAGGUGGAUGUGAAAAUAAUUUGUACGUUUGUCUGUUUGUUGUUUGUCUCCAGCUCUUCUGUAAUCAGUUCCCUCCCUCCCUUCUGCUGGAGCAGUGGGGCUGGGACACCUCUGGGCUGGAGCUGGGCAUCUCGGAGCUGGGAUCUCUGUUCUGGUGUACAAAAUGUGCCCUGGGAAGAUGGGAGAGGGUUUGCUCUGAGCUGUCGUGCGGCUACUUGUCCUCUCCCCCAACGAGGAGGCUUCUCCAGCAGCAGCAAUUACAGCAUGGCUGCAAACAGGCUGGAAAGAGACAUGAUGUAAAAAUUCAAUUACUUCAAGCAUUUCUGGCCUAACACUUGGCUUUAUAUAAACUCAGAGACAAUCCUAUAAGGCACUCAGGGCAGAUUAUAGGUUUGGGCAAAGCUAGAAAAUUGCUGCCAUUAUAUUGUUAUUAUUAACACCUUGUAAUUAGCCCUAAGGAAUCCUGAAGUUCUCUCUCCUGAUUUGCCUUUAAUGAAGGAAAAUUGCUACCUUUGCAAGUUGGAUGGCGCCCGCUCUGAUUAGCCUUAAGUAUAUAGGACUAUUAUUUUGAAAAUGUUUGUUGUCAUGUGAAUAUUAGUGUUGCAUGGAAAGGGGGGAGGAGAGGGGAGACCUUUUGUUUUUUGGCUCUGGGGAGUCCCAUGGUCACUUUAGGGAUGGUUGUGCCCUCCAAAAUGAAUGCUGGAAGCCUUGUCAGGGCAUCAGGAGCACAGGGAAUGAAUUCAGGAGGCUCCUGUGGCAAGGGCUGCCAGCUGCCCUACCUGCUGAUUGCAUGGGCUGAUGGAGUAAUUGUUGCAUGGAGAUAGUUUUAUGAUUGCUUUGAGAGGCUGAAUGAGAUCAUGCAUGAGUUAGCACACUAAGUGCAAUAAAAAUGAUUUUAUUUGCA
Junco hyemalis (dark-eyed junco) is the source of this 2363-nucleotide long non-coding RNA. Lineage: Eukaryota; Metazoa; Chordata; Aves; Passeriformes; Passerellidae. The record is from Ensembl.